UACAGAGGGUGCGAGCGUUAAUCGGAAUUACUGGGCGUAAAGCGUGCGGAGGUGGUUCGUUAAGUCUGAUGUGAAAGCCCUGGGCUCAACCUGGGAAUGGCAUUGGAAACUGGCGACCUAGAGUGCGGUAGAGGGUAGUGGAAUUCCCGGUGUAGCAGUGAAAUGCGUAGAGAUCGGGAGGAACAUCUGUGGCGAAGGCGACUGCCUGGACCAGCACUGACACUGAGGCACGAAAGCGUGGGGAGCAAACAGG
Molecule: ribosomal RNA, 253 nt
Filed under: uncultured bacterium
Lineage: Bacteria
Description: partial 16S ribosomal RNA
Rfam family: Bacterial small subunit ribosomal RNA
Source: RNAcentral